UACGGCGAGUGAACAGGGAAGAGCCCAGCACCGAAGCCUGUGGCCAUUUGGUCUCUAGGCAAUGUGGUGUUUAGGUCAUCUCGCAGAGACACUGUCCCACUCUAAGUCCAGCAAUGAGAACGGCAAUUUGGACUUGGCCCAAAGAGGGUGAAAGGCCCGUGAGGGUGGGAAUCAGGAUGGCCAGUGUCUCUCUGAGUAGACCUUGGAGUCGGGUUGUUUGUGAAUGCAGCCCAAAGCGGGUGGUAAACUCCAUCCAAGGCUAAAUACUAACACGAGUCCGAUAGCGAACAAGUACCGUGAGGGAAAGUUGAAAAGUACUUUGAAGAGAGAGUAAACAGUGCGUGAAACCGCUCAGAGGUAAACAGGUGGAGUUGAACUGCAAGCUUUGAGAAUUUAACUGGUGAGUGUGGCAUGGGCUUGGAUAUGCUGGUUGGCCUUUGGAGUCUGCUUAGCUGCAGGUCCUGCCUUUUGGGGUGGGAUGCAUGAUGCACUUAUCAAGUGUUGUGCGCUUCGGGGGUACAUCGGACCUGCUCGCCAGUGCAUUUUCUCAGAGUGUUCACCACGACCGGCGCUGCUGUCUGUCUACUAUUGUUAAACCGGGUGUGUAUCGUCCUUGCGGCUUUGCAUAUUCGGGACGGCAGGUAGCCCGAUUUUGCUUGUCAAUGUCGGGUGUAAUCAGCUGACUGUAGUAGUACUGUGCAGUGCGCCGGAGAUGGCGGCUUGUGGUGCAUACAUGCGUGCCUGUUUGAUUGGCGGCUUUGGGUCUGGUUGUCAUGAGCCUGUAAAAGCAGGCCUGAUAAUGGCACAGAGUCGUUCGGUCGACGGUUGCGUGUGGAGUACUUUAAUGGGCCUAUAGUCUGUGGUGUAGUGGUAAACGAUCCACCUGACCCGUCUUGAAACACGGACCAAGGAGAGUAACAUGUGCGCGAGUCAUUGGGCUCUACGAAACCCAAAGGCGCAGUGAAAGUAAAGGUCCGACUUUGGCGGACUAAGGUGAGAUCCUGUCGUUUCUCACGCGUGGUACUACCAAGCGUUCGAGCGGCAGGCGCAUCACCGGCCCGUCCCAUGGCGUAGACAUUUUCUUCGGAAGGUGCACCGCCGGGGCGGAGCAUGAGCGUACAUGUUGAGACCCGAAAGAUGGUGAACUAUGCUUGCGCAGGUUGAAGCCAGAGGAAACUCUGGUGGAGGACCGCAGCGAUUCUGACGUGCAAAUCGAUCGUCAAACGUGAGUAUGGGGGCGAAAGACUAAUCGA
This 1253-nucleotide ribosomal RNA is filed under the name Steringophorus furciger. Its description in RNAcentral is "partial large subunit ribosomal RNA". It matches the Rfam family "Eukaryotic large subunit ribosomal RNA", at positions 85 to 938 of the family's 3401-position model. Lineage: Eukaryota; Metazoa; Platyhelminthes; Trematoda; Strigeidida; Fellodistomidae. The record is from RNAcentral.